GUUGACAUGGCACUGACGUGUCGCGAAUAUAAUACUCUCCAUUAUGAAGUGGUAUUACAUUUUGGAGGUUGUAUUUAAUAUAUGCGAAAGUUGUUUGGGGGUAAAUAAUUGUCGAUAAAGUUAAAGUGUUAAAGUAAGUUGUGGUGACAAGUUCACGGGAUAUUUAUGCUUUUUCCCAAAUAAGAAGCAUAGGUAAAUAAUAAACAACAUUAAAUUUAUGUCUUACAUUUUAACACAUCAUCAUAGAAAAACAUAGAUCUCAAUAAAAUUUUAUUUUGAUUUGUCAUAUCAUAAUUUUCACUUAAAUACCCAAGCAAUUAGAUGGUGUGGUUGAAGAAAUCCCUUUGAGUGCAGAUUCAAUAUUGUUUACACUAAUCUUUGAUUUUAACUCGUUAAUUUUUUUAACCAAAUCUCUUUCAAAAUUCCUGAUCUCUUGUGACAGCUGCUCCUCAAGUCUUUCUGAAUUAGUCCCCCUUGAAAUUUUCCAAUGUAGAGCCCUCAGAGUUACCUUCAUUGGCUAUUCUUUUUUCCUUGUCAUCGAUUAUCAUCCUUUUCUUUUGAUCCAUCUUCACAUAUCUUUUGUGAUGACAAUUUUUUUCAACUGUCAUCCUACAACAUGAGGAACACUCAGUUGCUUGUUUUGACUGCGAAAAUCGAUCAAUGACCGAUUCAAUAUUUGGCGUACCAAAUAUAAAUGGUUUGCCUAUAACGAAAAUAAUGAUAAUCGUGAAUUCGAUUCCGCAGAGAACAGAAAGAUCUGUAGCUUGCUUAUAGAGAGCUUUCUACUUAUUGGAGAACAUAAUCUCCUCAGAUUGCUUCUCUUUUGGAAGCUUCCUAUUACUUCUUUCUUGCAUCGUGAAACUUUUCUUGCCAUGAAUAUAAUAAGAGAUAUGGUAUAUGAAUCUUUUGUUGAAUGAGUAUGUGAAUUAGAGUGAGUAUAGAUGAGAACAAGUCUCUGUAUUUAUAGCCGCAACAAACAUGUAUAUUAAUUGUCUCAUUAGCUUUUUAUGUUUUAUGAUCUAUAAAAAUUU
Molecule: long non-coding RNA, 1031 nt
Filed under: Capsicum annuum
Lineage: Eukaryota; Viridiplantae; Streptophyta; Magnoliopsida; Solanales; Solanaceae
Description: long non-coding RNA (CANN_LNC006481)
Source: RNAcentral